This 426-nucleotide ribosomal RNA is filed under the name uncultured bacterium. RNAcentral's name for it is "bacterial SSU rRNA". It matches the Rfam family "Bacterial small subunit ribosomal RNA", at positions 359 to 776 of the family's 1533-position model. The record is from RNAcentral.
GAAUUGUUCGCAAUGGGCGAAAGCCUGACGACGCAGCGCCGCGUGGAGGAUGAAGACUUUCGGGUCGUAAACUCCUUUCGACCGAGAUGAAUUCCCUCCGACCUAACACGUCGGAGGGGUGACAGUAUCGAGGGAAGAAGCCCCGGCUAACUCUGUGCCAGCAGCCGCGGUAAUACAGGGGGGGCAAGCGUUGUUCGGAAUUACUGGGCGUAAAGGGUUCGUAGGUGGCCAACUAAGUCAUACGUGAAAUCCCUCAGCUUAACUGGGGAACUGCGUCUGAUACUGGUUGGCUUGAGUGCAGGAGAGGAACGCGGAAUUCCAGGUGUAGCGGUGAAAUGCGUAGAUAUCUGGAGGAACACCGGUGGCGAAGGCGGCGUUCUGGACUGCAACUGACACUGAGGUACGAAAGCCAGGGGAGCAAACGGG